This 259-nucleotide unclassified non-coding RNA is filed under the name air metagenome. RNAcentral's name for it is "partial contains small subunit ribosomal RNA, internal transcribed spacer 1, and 5.8S ribosomal RNA". The stretch from base 1 to 46 matches the Rfam family "Eukaryotic small subunit ribosomal RNA", at positions 1786 to 1831 of the family's 1831-position model. The record is from RNAcentral.
AAGUCGUAACAAGGUUUCCGUAGGUGAACCUGCGGAAGGAUCAUUAAACAUAUUACGGGGGCCGGAUCCCAAGGCGCAUGUACCCCAUGCGCCUUGCCCUGCCCUGUCUGAAUAUUUCACCCAUGUUUUUUGCGUACUAUUUGUUUCCUUGGUGGGCUUGCCUGCCAGUAGGACAUCAUAAACCCUUCUGUAAUUGCAAUCAGCGUCAGAUAAAAAAUUUAAUAAAUUAAAACUUUCAACAACGGAUCUCUUGGUUCUG